Molecule: long non-coding RNA, 1096 nt
Organism: Daphnia carinata
Lineage: Eukaryota; Metazoa; Arthropoda; Branchiopoda; Diplostraca; Daphniidae
Exons: 6
Source: RefSeq, a predicted model, not a curated record
GAUACCACUUUGCGGAAAGUGGAAACACUGGUCUUCUGUCUACCUUUACUCGCUAGAUAGACCGUCCUCGCUAGAUUUUACUUCUUGACCUCUCUAUAUAAUGUUAUUUGUUUCAUUCUGUUCUACAUUUUUUCUGUCCAGGGUCACAAAUGUGAAGGACAUUUUGCCAGAGUGUCCACAAGCUGGUGGGGGCGGCGGUAGUGGUCCGUUGACGUCACAAAUAUGGGGAAGGGGGACAUUUCUCGAAGGAUUGUCCACAAGAGGGUCGCGGUGGUGGUGGAAGUCGUACCUGCCAUGAGAUAAACAAAAAACAAAAAAAACAUCAUUUUUAGUGCUCAUUUUUAACGAAGAAGAGGGCAAUAUAGCAAGGGAUUUUCCUCAAGGAGGAAGCAUUGGUGGCAGCAACUGUUAUGAUUGUAAUGAAGCUGACCACAGCUCGAUAGGCUGCCCGAAUCUCUUCAGUGAAUUGACGGAAGAUGGAAAGCCACAUGAGCAAUACAUUCCAGAAGCUAUGACAUGCGAUGAAAAGGAACUGUUUAAGGGCAUUGUCUAUGUGGGAACGCUUUAACAAUUUUGAUAAAGUCGUCCUCCAUGCUACAGGAAAAGAUGUACUUCAAUACAUAACAUCAUUCGAAGAAGCCGGCCUGCAUCAACUACUACUUCAAAACAUUAAGAAUUCUGGCUACAUAAAACCAACACCUGUUCAGAAAGCUUCAGUUGUAGUUAUUCUUGCCAAAAGAGGUUAAUUGCUUGUGCGGUCACGGGGUCCGGAAAACGGCGGUGUACUUGGUACCGGUUAUGAACAUAUUGUUAGAACAAGGUGUUGUUGGUGCGUCUCAUGCCAUGGGGCAAAAGCCAGAAGUUGUAAUUGUCGCACCCACCCGUGAAUUGGCCAUUCAAAUUCACCGUGAGGCGUGUAAAUUCUCCUACAGUUCGGUUUUAAAGUCUGUGAUUAUAUAUGGAGGAACUCUCACGAGCCAUCAGCGGUCAAAUCUUCAAGCUGGGUGCAAUAUUUUUGUCGCAACCGCGGGGCGAUUCAAUGAUUUUCUCGACCGUGAAGUAUUUGACUUCUCGGGAGUCAGGUUUUAAAUUUUGG